ACGCACGCUGGCGGCGUGCUUAACACAUGCAAGUCGAACGGAAAGGCCCUGCUUUUGUGGGGUGCUCGAGUGGCGAACGGGUGAGUAACACGUGAGUAACCUGCCCUUGACUUUGGGAUAACUUCAGGAAACUGGGGCUAAUACCGGAUAGGAGCUCCUGCUGCAUGGUGGGGGUUGGAAAGUUUCGGCGGUUGGGGAUGGACUCGCGGCUUAUCAGCUUGUUGGUGGGGUAGUGGCUUACCAAGGCUUUGACGGGUAGCCGGCCUGAGAGGGUGACCUGCCACAUUGGGACUGAGAUACGGCCCAGACUCCUACGGGAGGCAGCAGUGGGGAAUAUUGCACAAUGGGCGGAAGCCUGAUGCAGCAACGCCGCGUGCGGGAUGACGGCCUUCGGGUUGUAAACCGCUUUCGCCUGUGACGAAGCGUGAGUGACGGUAAUGGGUAAAGAAGCACCGGCUAACUACGUG
RNAcentral lists this ribosomal RNA (467 nucleotides) under uncultured bacterium. RNAcentral describes it as "partial 16S ribosomal RNA". It matches the Rfam family "Bacterial small subunit ribosomal RNA", at positions 29 to 507 of the family's 1533-position model. The record is from RNAcentral.